AGUGAACGCUGGCGGUAGGCCUAACACAUGCCAGUCGAACGGCAGCACAGUAAGAGCUUGCUCUUACGUGUGGCGAGUGGCGGACGGGUGAGGAAUACAUCGGAAUCUACUUUUUCGUGGGGGAUAACGUAGGGAAACUUACGCUAAUACCGCAUACGACCUACGGGUGAAAGCAGGGGAUCUUCGGACCUUGCGCGAUUGAAUGAGCCGAUGUCGGAUUAGCUAGUUGGCGGGGUAAAGGCCCACCAAGACGACGAUCCGUAGCUGGUCUGAGAGGAUGAUCAGCCACACUGGAAAUAAGAAACGGUACAGACUCCUACGGGAGGAAGCAGUGGGGAAUAUUGGACAAUGGGCGCAAGCCUGACCCAGCCAUAACGCGUGGGUGAAGAAGGCCUUCGGGUUGUAAAGCCCUUUUGUUGGGAAAGAAAAGCAGCAGGUUAAUACCCCGCUGUUCUGACGGUACCCAAAGAAUAAGCACCGGCUAACUUCGUG
This 492-nucleotide ribosomal RNA is filed under the name uncultured bacterium. RNAcentral's name for it is "partial 16S ribosomal RNA". It matches the Rfam family "Bacterial small subunit ribosomal RNA", at positions 29 to 507 of the family's 1533-position model. The record is from RNAcentral.